AGGACGAACGCUGGCGGCGUGCUUAACACAUGCAAGUCAAGGGGGCCCAGCAAUGGGCAACCGGCGAACGGGUGCGUAACACGUGAGCAACCUACCGAAAUGUGGGGGAUAGCCGGCCUAACGGCCGAGUAAUACCGCAUACGCUCUCGAUGAGGCAUUUCAUUGAGAGGAAACCUACGGGACAUUUCGAGGGGCUCGCGGCCUAUCAGCUAGUUGGAGAGGUAACGGCUCACCAAGGCAACGACGGGUAG
This 251-nucleotide ribosomal RNA is filed under the name uncultured soil bacterium. Its description in RNAcentral is "partial 16S ribosomal RNA". It matches the Rfam family "Bacterial small subunit ribosomal RNA", at positions 26 to 286 of the family's 1533-position model. The record is from RNAcentral.